RNAcentral lists this long non-coding RNA (7216 nucleotides) under Homo sapiens (human). RNAcentral describes it as "HSALNT0077307". The record is from RNAcentral. Lineage: Eukaryota; Metazoa; Chordata; Mammalia; Primates; Hominidae.
GUUCCCUUGGACACAAGCUGCAUUACUAUUUAAGUGAUCCUUUUUCAGUACUAUUCUACUGGACACGAAGUGUGUUCAUUUCACUCUCAAUAUCCAGUUUCAAGGCUGAAGAACCGCACACUCAUGGACUGAUUGUUGUGGACCAAGAAGUAUAGGUAAGAAAAUACCUCGCUUUCUUUAUAGCUUUCUCAGACUACUGCUAUUAUUAUUCUACCUCUAAGGCCAGCCUCCCAGUAGUGUUCUCAUCUAUCAGAACUUUUUUAACCAAUUAACCUUUCUAUUUAGCAGGAAAAAAAUAUAUGAAACAUUUAAACAGAUACGACUUUAAAAGAUAUUGUAUAAAUUUAAUAUAGCUUAUUUGUCAUGAAGUCCAUAAAACACUCUUCAACCUUUAUAUGUUUAUAAUAUAAAAUCAAUGUGAAAGAACAAGUAUUUUAUUAGAAAGGUAACAAUAAAACCAAAUUAUAAAAAGAAGACACUAAAUAACUAUCUAGUACUAAGUAUUUGGCUAGGCUAAUUUCCUGCAGAAAAUGAAUAUCUACUAUGUGUACCUACCUCAACCCCAUCCACUCAGCAAUAUCUGUGAAUUGACUGGGAAGACAUAUUAAACUGCGCUGCAGAAUAUGUAAGAAGCAGAGUCAAAGUAUUAGUUUGUUCAGAGUUAAACAUACAUAUAAAAGGACAGGGUUCAUUUAGCAUUAACUGUGAAUCUCUGAGAGUAUCUAAUUUAUUGUUUUUAUUAAUAAAUAUCAUGUCCAGUAUGAGGGUUAGGGGCAAGAGAGAAGGAAUUUAAAUACUUAGAACAUUUUAGAGAACGUUCCAAGAGAAACCAAAUACCUCAGACUAUUUAGAGACAGAAGUAUUUUGCAGUGAAUGUGCUAUGAAAGAAUUUAUUAAAGUAAUUACCUUUACUAUUCACUGAUUUCCAUAGCAACGGCACAAAUUUUGAUUUCCUUGAAUUGAUAUUUAAGACUGUUUUGAGGAGUAAAUUAUUUCUCUGGUUUACUCAUUCCUUUAAUGCCCUCACCAACCUUCACCCACUAUAGUGGAAAAAAAAAUAGGACCACAAACUUGGUAAAGUUGGCUACAAAUAACUGAUUUUUCCUUAGUACUAUUCUAUGACCUGUGUUAAUUUGUUUUCAAACCAAAAAACAGUGUUCUAUGGAAGAUUUCAGAUAAUUUCUACAAACUCAAGUUCAUGGUUUUACAUAUAGAUAUGAUAUGUGAUAAGGUAAACACAGAAGUCAUAGAGGAAAUUCAAGUGAUUUCAGAUGCUCCUCAUAGGCAUGCUUCCCCCAGUCUCAUCAUGCACACUUGAAGCCACCCUUUUCCAGAUCAACUGCCUGUGAAAGAUUUUCAGAACUCUGAGCCAUUACUAAAUGGCCAUGGAAAGAAAUUAAGCAAAGAAAAAUUGGACAGACUUUCAGGAAAAGUUUCCUAAUUGUGAAAACUAUUAAAAUGUGGAAUAAAUAUCCUCUGAGGGAGAGGAUAGAUGCCCAUCUCUGAGGCUUUAAAAACAGGAUUUGACCAACACUUUGGGAAGAGAAAUGAGGGCAAUAUUCAUUACUUGGCAAGGAAGUGAGCUGGAUGACAUAAUGGUCUUUUCCCUCUUUCAUGCUAAUGCCUCUUUAAUGUUUCCAUUUAAGUAGUAACUUAGUUUCAAAAGCGGACAUUUUAAUGUGGGAAGAGUACUCAGGUUUCAAUGAAAACCUCACCAGAAAAAAUCAGGAAUGAAGGCCACCAUUGACCCUGUACGUGGAUUACUUUUGUAUUUGACCACGUAAGACAAUUGGAUGGGCACCUAAUAUAUUUCCUGGUACACUCCUAUUGUGGUUGGUCUUCUUUAUCUGUAUGUCUAUCUUGUUCAGUCUGCGCUUCAGCUUUGCAGGAAAAUAGAAAUUUUUUUUUCUGUGCUUGUUUAUGCUAACCAUGGUGCCUACAACUGCAUCUGCUGCCUUUACACGGGACUGCAAACCUGUUUUUUUCAACCUUCUGUUUUAUGGGUGUGCACACCCAUAAAUCUCCUGUGGCUGGGUUAAGGGAACAUACAAGCAGCUCUUCAGCAUUAAGAAUGUGAUGGGAGAGAUUCAGGUAGAUUUGAACUGCCAUCAUCAAUCAAGACCAAGGAGAAGGCUGCUUUCCAGGAUGUACACAUGGCCUCUGUUUGCUGUUGCUGUUUUGCUUCUUUUAAGAGGUGAACCAAUAUAUGUAUGUCUGUUUCUACUGUCACUUGCAGCUCAACAGAACCCUGUAAUAUACAUGAACAAGUUUCUGGAAGUUAAGAGCAGGAAAUUCCACUGAAACAAAAUAGAACAUACCUUUAUGUUCUAUUGAGAGAGUGUGGAAGAAGAAAAUUCUGUAUUGGUUUUGACUAACAACAAGCUGCCGGAAGAUCUCUUUUUCUCCUACAGGUUAAUAAGGAGAAAAUUGAAAUUAGAAGCAUAAAGCAUUUUGUCAAGAUAUAACUAUGAAGAUAUUUUCAUUACUAAAUAUACAAAUAGGCCAGUUGCAGUGGCUCACACCUGUAAUCCCGGCAUUUUGGGGGACCGAGGCAGGCAGAUCGCCUGAAGUCAGGAGUUCGAGACCAGCCUGGCCAUCAUGGAGAAACUCCAUCUCUACUAAAAAUACAAAAUUAGCCGUGUGUAGUGACACAUGCCUGUAAUCCCAGCUACUUGGGAGGCUGAGGCAGGAGAAUCGCUUGAACUCAGGAGGCAGAGGUUGCUGUCAGCCAAUAUUGCACCACUGCACUCCAACCUGGGCAAUAAGAGCAAAACUCCAUCUCAAAAAAUAAGUAAAUAAAUAAAUAAUAAUAUAUAUACAUUUUCAUACACAUAUACUUGUCUAAAUAUGGCAUAUAAAUCUAAAUAAAUAAAUGGAUAUAUCCAUCUCCUUGUGUAUAAUUCAUAUUUAUAUUAAUAUAUACUCAUUCUCUUAUGUAAGCCCUUCCCCUUGAUUAUUGGUGUGACCUGUGACUUACUUCUGUCCAACAAAAUGCAGUAAAGAUGAUGGGAUAUAUGCAAUUACAUGCACAUGAUUAUAUGACUGUUGUAAAAGAUUGUAGCACUUGUCAUGCUGGAGUCUUUCUUUCCCUUACUGACUUUGAGGAAGAAACACUUUGCAUAGCAAGGAACUAUGGGUGGCCUCCAAGAGUGGUUUCCAGCAGUCAGCAAGAAAUUGAAAUCCUCAGUUUAACAACCAAAAGGAAAUGAAUUCUGCCAUCAACUUGCAUGAAUUGUGAAACAAAUUCUUCCCCAGUAAAACCUCAGAUGAGAUCACAACCCAGCUGACAUGUUGGUUGCAAUAAAUACAUUGCAAUCAAUGAUUUGGAUUGCAGCAUAAAACUAAGGUGUAUCUAGUCUCCUGACACAUAGAAACUGUGAGAUAGUAAAUGUACAUGGUUUUAAGCUGCUAAUUUUUUGGUAAUAUUGUUAUGCAGCAGUAGAUAACUCAUACAAAUUUUAGUACAUGGAAGUCUGAUGCUGCUAUAACAAACACCGAAAAAUUUUGGGAGUUGUUUUCGAACCAGGCACUGGAUGCAGGCUGAAAUAAAUUUUUGAAGAACAUGAUAGAGAAAACUUAAAUGUCCUCAAACACACCGUUAGUAGAAAUACAUGGAAAGAGUGCUGUCAGUGAGGGCAGUUCAAAUAUUUUAAGUGUCUUGUGAUAUGUCCUUUGACCAUGGAUUAUUUAGAAGUAUUUAGAUUAUUUAGAAGUAUUUCUAAAAACUUGGAAAUUAUUCAUUUUUUGCUUAUUUAUUUUUAAUUUAUUACUUUUUGGUCACAAACAUCCUCUGUAUGAUUCAUGUUGUUUGAAAGACAUUUUUCUAUUCCUACCACCUGAGAUUACAACUUGAUAUUUGUCCUCUUCUGGCUUAUAUUGCUAUGUACUUAAGUUCAUUGUUCUUUUAUUCUGCCUUGUUUAAUUUGAUGUCAGUUUCAUCCAGUUAGUUUUUCAUUUUGAUAUUGUAAUUUUUUUAGUUUAGGAAGUUCCAUUGAUUUUUUUCCCUAUCUUCCUUUUCUAUUCUUCUAAUUUUCUUGUUUAAAUUCUUAAGCACUUUCGUAAUAGUUGUUUUAUUCCCCCUUUCUGCUAAUCUUAUCAUUUCUGUCAUUUCUUGAUCUCUUUCUGUUAAUUGAUUUUUAUCUUGAUUACAGGCCACCUUUUUUCUAUUUCUUCUUUCGUAUAGUAAUCAUUGAUUGAAUGGCUGAUAUUUUACCAUAUUGAUUGAAUUUUACUCUCUUCCUUAUUCCGUUUCCAGGGGUAGUUAAGUAACUUAUAAAUAUUAUUGAUCUAAUCAAGGUUUAAUUUUAGGCCUUCCAAGGGCAGAACUAGAUUAAUCUUUGAAGUAGGUCUAAGUUAACACUGCUACCAAGAUUUGAAUUUUCUGGGGUCUCUGAGGCAUUGGAAUCUUUCCACUGUGUCUGCUCUGAAGUCAAAUAUCUCCCAGCCAUGCAUUUAUUCUAGGAAUUGUUUAUGUUCAUCUGCUUCACAGUUCAGCAUUGUAGAAUCACAUUCUGUGUAUUUAUUUGCAUUAAUAUGUUCAGCAACAGACAUGAGGAGACCCCUAUUCAGGUUUUCUACCCUCCUGCCUGACACUCUCUCUCAUAACUUUCACCUUCUCAUACAACAUUCUUUGUCUUCCCAACAGAAUAAGAUGAUUUAGGUUAUACUGCUCUACUUAAGUUUCAUCUCUUUGUGCCAUGGUCCAUUUAGUGUCUUCAGGCACAAAGCUGAGGUGAUUAUGGGUAUCAUCCUUUUUGUUUUUCUUCUCACAGAUAUCACAAUUCUGUGCAGCUCAUUUUUUCAAUAUUCAAAAUUGAUUUCCCCCACUUUUCUAGUUGUUUCAGCAGUAUGUCAAGUUCGCUAACACUCAUUUCAAAAUUGUAUGGCCGGAAGUGGAAAUUCCUCAUUCUUUAUAUAUUGACAUAUUUACUCUUCAAACUGAGUGGUUAACUAUCUUGCCAAAUGUCACUGUGCAAGGAUUUGAACAUAGUAUGCCAGAUUCAGAAUCUAUGCAAUUAACCAUUAUAGCAAAGUGUGUACAAUAAAUUAUAAAUGGUGCUUUGUAGCCUAAGUAGAAAACACAAUGAAGGGAGUGGCAGGAGAUGAGGUUGGAGAGUUAUGUAGGAGCAGCCACAUUAAAGACAGUACUGCGGGCAGUGUUAAAGAGUUUGGUCUGCUUCCUAUAGGCCACCAAAAGCUACAGGAUAAUUUGCAGGAAAGAGCAACUUUGUCAGACUUUUUCUUUAGGUAUUAUUCUGGGAGUGGUGUAAUGGAUGGAUUUGGAAACAGACCAGAGAUAGGAAUGCGAUUCAUUCUGCGUAUGAAAUGAUGUGCACAAUACAUGUAGUCACUGAAUUUUUAAAAACUAAUUGCUAAGUUUCAAAGCUUUCUUUGAUAAGCAUGUUUAAAAUUUUCAUAUAAGAACAGCUAUUUUAAAAGUUAAAUAAAUAUCUAGAAGCCAAUGACGUUAUGAUUAAUACAUUCAAUUACUUUGUCAUGAAAUUAAAGUUGAAUCUCUGAGUCCACUUAUUAUUAAAGUGUUUGUUUUUCUUUAAAGAUGGUUAAAAAUAUUCUUUCUAGUUGGAGAAUGCCUAAAAACGAAAGUUUUCUUCCCUUGGGCAAGGCAUACCUUAGCAAACUGAAGUUAGGUCCUCAUCUGUAGAUUGAAACACUGGGUAACUAAAGCAGUGAUAUGUCAAACUUCUCUGGCAACUGAUUUCUCUUUAUAAGUGAAGGCUGAUUCAGAAAUGCAAUAAGUAUUGAGAAAACAUUGGGCAACCCUGCCUACAUAGUCACUGUUACCCGAUUCCAAGGCAUCAUUGCCCUUAGGACUCUUCUUGGAAUCCACACUAGUAACUCAGUUGGGAAAUCAUUAAACUACAUAAUCUAAAGUGAGGUAAAAUGUUAUCCAACUCAUUAAUGCAUAUAUACAGAGGAUAAACACACACACACACACACACACACACACACACACACAUAGUGUGUGGAUCAUUUAACACCUAAAUCAAAUGGUCAUGGAAUAAUUAUGUUUGUUUUAUCUGUUUACAAGUAGCUAAUUUACCCCCAAACUGUGGUAGCUUGAGUAAACACAGCUUACAAAAGUUUGUAAGUGAUGUAUUACAAAAGCAGUACAGAUCAAAUGACAAUUCAAAGUAGUUCUCAAACUCAUAGGUCAGCCAUGUCCUAAAUUCUUACCUUAAAACCUUGAUCAACAAUUCUUAUAAAAAUACCUUUUUCUAGCUCUAGAAUAUUAAUCUUGUCAUCACGUUACAUGUCUUAAAGAAAUUCUGAGAGGUUUCUGUGUGAUUCUAAGGUUACCUGUAAAAUGGGAAAUCUAUAAUUAUAUGCUUUGCAGUCAGCUGCUUCCUUCAGGCAACCACCUUGCAUUAAAUCUGCCAUUAAAAUAAAUUUAAAAAGUCUCCCCAGGGAUUGUUUUGCUCUCGUAAACUACUAAUCUGCUAAAUAUGUAAUUGAAUUAUUCUGUCAUCUUAGCACCAACUUCACUUUUAAAUAAAAACUCCUUGUAAAUAAGAGGACAAGCCAUAGAGCUGAGAUCAAUACAUACUUCUAUAAACCUUUCUUAAUAGUUGCUGAGUAGAAAAAAUAAAAGCAACUCUUAAAACUCUCCUUAUUUUCUUACCACUGUCUUGUCACUUAUGAUGAUGAGUGUACCUUUGUAGGAGCCUGGAAUAUAGCAAGAGAGAAAGAAAGGAACUAAGGAGCUACAAGAGAGUCAGAAAACAAUUAUCAAAAUGGCAAUAGAAGGUCAUUACUCAUCAAUAAUUACUUUAAAUGUAAAUGGAUUAGAUUAUCCAAUCGAAAGAUAGAGUGGCUGAAUGGAUAAAAGACCAAAAUUCAACUGUGUGUUGCUUAUUAAAAAACUCAUUUUAACUUGAAGAAUGCACAUAUGCUGAAAGUAAAGGAAUACAAAAAGAUGUUUUACGCAAAUGAUAACCAAAACAGACCAGGAUUGGCUAUACUAAUAUCAGGCAAAAUAGACUUUAAGCAAAAAACUGUAAAAAAAGACAAAGAAGGUCCUCAUAUAAAGAUAAUGGGGUCAAAUUACCAAAGGAUAUAACAAUUAUAAAUAUAGAUGCAUCUAACAUUUUAGCACCUAAAUGUUUUUUUUUUUUUUUUAAAUAUUAACAGAACUGAAGGGAGAAAAAAAUACAAUAACAGCGGGGGACUUCAACACUCCACUUUCAACAAUGAAUAG